GAUGAACGCUGGCGGCGUGCCUAAUACAUGCAAGUCGAGCGAACAGACGAGGAGCUUGCUCCUCUGACGUUAGCGGCGGACGGGUGAGUAACACGUGGAUAACCUACCUAUAAGACUGGGAUAACUUCGGGAAACCGGAGCUAAUACCGGAUAAUAUAUUGAACCGCAUGGUUCAAUAGUGAAAGACGGUUUUGCUGUCACUUAUAGAUGGAUCCGCGCCGCAUUAGCUAGUUGGUAAGGUAACGGCUUACCAAGGCGACGAUGCGUAGCCGACCUGAGAGGGUGAUCGGCCACACUGGAGCUGAGACACGGUCCAGACUCCUACGGGAGGCAGCAGUAGGGAAUCUUCCGCAGUGGGCGAAAGCCUGACGGAGCAACGCCGCGUGAGUGAUGAAGGUCUUCGGAUCGUAAAACUCUGUUAUUAGGGAAGAACAAAUGUGUAAGUAACUAUGCACGUCUUGACGGUACCUAAUCAGAAAGCCACGGCUAACUACGUG
RNAcentral lists this ribosomal RNA (497 nucleotides) under uncultured bacterium. RNAcentral's name for it is "partial 16S ribosomal RNA". It matches the Rfam family "Bacterial small subunit ribosomal RNA", at positions 28 to 507 of the family's 1533-position model. The record is from RNAcentral.